Molecule: long non-coding RNA, 841 nt
Organism: Polypterus senegalus (gray bichir)
Lineage: Eukaryota; Metazoa; Chordata; Cladistia; Polypteriformes; Polypteridae
Exons: 4
Source: RefSeq, a predicted model, not a curated record
GAUCAAGAUAAAAUUAUUGGCAGAUGCUCUACAUUUGUAUGAUUGCACUUCCGAUUUGCGAUUUCUGUUAAUGAAAGCUUAUAGAGCUCAGCAAAACAAGGAUAAGAGCAAACCAUGUGCUAAAAUGAUGCAGAAAAUGAGUCAUGCAGAGGUUGAGGUGACCACAGAAACAUCAGAGACAAGACAAAACCGCAGAAAGAGCUGUGUUAUGCUUCAAUCCAUCAUAUGAAAACAUCAAAGGAUGUAUACUCUGCUUGGGAGGAGAAAGAACUUUCUGAUGUCCAUGAGUAUACCGUAGAAUAUACCACAUUUAAUUUUCGAACACCAAAGCUAAUGAAACAAAUUAAAUGCAAUGUUGCUAAAAUGUAGAAAUUGUAUUUAUUUUAUAAUGUUUCACUUUUAAUAGAAAUACCUAUUUAAUAAAACUGCAAUAUGUAGAACAUACUGUAUGUAAACAAACAGGCUAUACCUCUCUGUCCCUUUCACAAGACCAGCAUAUUUUUUCUUGUUGAUAUAGUUAAGCAGAGUCUUUAGGUGAAAUAAGGAAUAAAUUUAACUUAGUGGUGCUUCUGCUAACUUUUGUGUGUUAUUUUUAGUAUAAACUGGGUAAUUUGGAGUUACUAUUCAGCUUAGUAUACAAGUCUUUCAGAAGUGGGAGGAAAACUAGAGGAGCUGAACAAAACCCAGAUAGAGAAAUGAAGAGAACAUGCAAACACCUCACCAAUGACACCUGGGAAUGGGAUUCAGACCUACUAGUCUGGAGCUAUGAUAGAAAAGGGCAAGCCACUCUCCAGCACUGGCUGCCAUAUUGUUUAUUUUAAUGUCUUUCAAUAAAAAUGUA